Molecule: non-coding RNA, 473 nt
Organism: Mus caroli (Ryukyu mouse)
Lineage: Eukaryota; Metazoa; Chordata; Mammalia; Rodentia; Muridae
Source: RefSeq, a predicted model, not a curated record
GCCACCGACGAUCCUAUUGUCAUCAUGGGCCACUGCCCCGCCCGGUGUUACCGGUAUUGUAAGAACAAGCCAUACCCAAAGUCUCGUUUCUGCCGUGGUGUCCCUGAUGCUAAGAUCCGAAUCUUUGAUUUGGGACGGAAGAAAGCAAAAGUUGAUGAAUUCCCACUUUGUGGCCAUAUGGUGUCAGAUGAAUAUGAGCAACUCUCUUCUGAAGCACUGGAGGCUGCCCGUAUUUGUGCCAACAAAUACAUGGUAAUGAGUUGUGGCAAGGAUGGCUUUCAUAUCCGAGUGAGGCUCCACCCUUUCCAUGUCAUCCGUAUCAACAAAAUGUUGUCCUGUGCUGGGGCUGACAGGCUCCAGACAGGGAUGCGUGGUGCCUUUGGGAAGCCCCAGGGCACAGUGGCCAGGGUUCACAUUGGCCAGGUCAUCAUGUCCAUCCGAACCAAGUUGCAGAAUAAGGAACAUGUGAUUGA